GGGGUACUCGAGCGGCGAACGGGUGAGUAACACGUGAGCAACCUGCCCUCAGCUCUGGGAUAGCUCCGGGAAACCGGAAUUAAUACCGGAUAUGACUGCGGCCGACAUCGGCUGCGGUGAAAAGGAUUCCGGCUGAGGAUGGGCUCGCGGCCUAUCAGCUAGUUGGUGGGGUAACGGCCCACCAAGGCGACGACGGGUAGCCGGCCUGAGAGGGCGACCGGCCACACUGGGACUGAGACACGGCCCAGACUCCUACGGGAGGCAGCAGUGGGGAAUAUUGCGCAAUGGGCGAAAGCCUGACGCAGCGACGCCGCGUGGGGGAUGAAGGCCUUCGGGUUGUAAACCCCUUUCAGCAGGGACGAAGCGAAAGUGACGGUACCUGCAGAAGAAGCGCCGGCUAACUACGUGCCAGCAGCCGCGGUAAU
This 425-nucleotide ribosomal RNA is filed under the name uncultured Actinomycetes bacterium. RNAcentral's name for it is "bacterial SSU rRNA". It matches the Rfam family "Bacterial small subunit ribosomal RNA", at positions 84 to 524 of the family's 1533-position model. The record is from RNAcentral. Lineage: Bacteria; Bacillati; Actinomycetota; Actinomycetes.